This is an RNA transcript of Solanum dulcamara, 3061 nucleotides long. It is a transcript of the gene named DNA mismatch repair protein MLH3-like, with no coding region annotated. NCBI's taxonomy places the organism in Eukaryota, Viridiplantae, Streptophyta, Magnoliopsida, Solanales, Solanaceae. The transcript has 7 exons. The record is from RefSeq and is a predicted model, not a curated record.
CUCCGCGUGUAUUAAAUAGUUCGAAAACUAUAAAAGAGACACCACCUGCGCAUUGUAGACUCACCACCAUCAUAUUGGGGAAGCCCGCUUAUCAUAGACGCUACCGGCGCAUACGCCACCGGAUUGCUGGUCUUAACUGUCCGGGUGACGAUGCCCGAUGACAACCCUUAAUCAAUUUUACCGGCGAUCAAUCUGCGGAAGUAAUGGUACUGUUCUUCCCAUUAUCUUGCUAUUCUUCGAAGGAAAAUUCCAGAACUUGGCACAUGUAAAGGAAAUUCAAGAAAUCUUGGAAUUCUUGCAUGUAUUCUUCUUAAGAAAAAAUGUAGAACAGUAAGCGAUUGGUAUUCUUAAACGUAUAUUUUAAGGAAAUCAAAGAAGUUGUAGGUUUCAAGAAUAUCAAGGAAAUUCAAGAAAUUCUUGCAGGGUAUAUUAAGAAUUUGUUUUCUAGUUUUUUAGGGACCUCAAUUCGGUCACAGGGGUUGUAUUGACGUCCGAUCAAAACCCUAAACCCUAAAUCAAUUUUCCUGCCGAUCUAUUGGUAUUCUACUGCUCUUCCCAUUAUCUUGGUAUUCUUCCAUCCAUUAAAAAGAAAGAAGGAAAAAUUCGAGAGCUUGAUAUUGUUAGUUUUCUUGGAAUUCUUGCAUGCAAGCUUUUAAAAGAAAAGUUCAAGAACUUGUUGGCUUUUUGAGGUUAUAUAUUUACUCUCAUGGAACAUAUCCAGGAAAUUCAAGAAGUCGUCUAGAAAAAAAACUUAUGUUGUAUGUUAAGGAUGUUCAAGAAUUUGUUUUACAUUUUUAGGGAGAUAGGAGCAUUAAGCGAAUGCCUAACGCUAUUUGGAGUUCGGGGAGCGGGGAGCAUUAAGCGAAUGCCUGAGGCUAUUUUAAGUAGUUUAAUUAAAAGAAGUUGUGAUUUGUAGUAUAUGAAUGAAGACGCUCAAUUGGACAGACUUUCGUAAACACCCUCACUGGUAUAUGUUGUUAUAGGCAGUGGGACCUUCUAUGUUAAGGUGGAUGACAAUGGAUUUGUUUUUUCAUGAGAUGGACUGGUGCUGAUUGGUGAAAUAUAUGCGACAUCAAAAUACGGCCAUCAGAUGAUAUGCAUGCUUUCCCAGCAAGCUUUGGCUUCAAAGGAGAGGCUCUGAGCUAUACUUCUGGCAUUUCUUUGUUGGAAAUUGUUAUUAAAACUCACUGGAGGCCAAAAGAAUAUCGUAAUGUUUUGAAGGACGGCAAGUGUUUGUACCUUGGAAUUGAUGAUUGUAGACAAGAUGUGGGUACAAGUAUAGGCCUACCUGUGUUGACUGCUGUUUGAUAAUAAGGAAAUUUGUUGGGAUUUUUCUUUUUGCAUUCAUUGUUGGUGAUGUAUUUUACAACCAACCAGUUCAAAGGAUCAAAUGCAUUCCAAGUACUUCUAGUUUUCUCACAAUUCAAACAAAUGAAAAAUAUUGAUUUACAUACUUUACUUCUAAAUCUGUACCCUGUCCUGUUUGAUCUUUUGUUUUGCAUAUAUAAUCUGGAAGCCCAAAGAGGGUCUCGUAUUCUCUGAAAGAGUCCGUGCUAAGAAUCGCCCUUGUGCAUCCCAGUGUCUCCUUCAAAAUUGUUGAUAUUGAGAGGUCCAUCUCUGUUAUACAAGCUAACUCAGGAUAUUUUCCUUCUGGCUUCUUAGAUUUUGUUCAUUUGCAUGCAGUGAGGAUGACUUGCUUCGCACACAUGCUCCAUUUAUUAUUUUACUUCAUCAUCUGAAGUUGUAAUUUCUUUUGAAGGAUCUGGUGUCUCACGAGAUGGACUGGUGCUGAUGGAGAAAGAUGUGGUAGUCUUUUUGCAAAAUGUUGGACUGACAUAAUAUUUUUUAUUGUCUUGAUGCUUCUGUACAUAAUUUAUUUUGCCCGACAACUAGGAUGCUCAUAUCUUGGAAUGGUUGUUGUAGUCCGUAGGAUUGCAUGCAUUACUCAACUAAUAGGUUGUUUGACCAUUUGUGUUCAUUAGUAUCUUUUUACAAAUGUUCUUUUAUUUAUUAUUUUGUUGUUUUACUUGUUAUUAGGUAAGCUGGUAUGGCUGUACGCAAUACAAAAUAUUGAUUACAUUUGUUUUUCUUUUAUUGUAAAAUGUUCAUGUACAUCGCAUUCCUGGUGCUUCAUUUGCAAUAAGACACUUUCUUUUCCUGUACCGCGUCCCAAAAAUAUUAUUUUUGUUGAUCACUACUGUAUGUUGAGUUAUUUUGAUUAUUUAUUCUAGCUGAAGGUGAGUUGGAACAUACAUAUAGGUGCUUAGGUACUUAUAGCCCAGCUUAUGGAGACAGUAUGUGUCUGUUUCUUGCAUCUUCUGUUAUGCUUCCAUUUCAUUUGGUCAUUUUAACUAGGGUUUCAAAUGCUUGUUUUACACUAGCGACAUCAAAAUACUACCAUUCAGAUGAUAUGCAUGCUUUCCCAGCAAGCUUUGGCCUUAAAGGAGAGGCUCUGAGCUCUACUUCUGAUGGUUCUUCGUUGGAAAUUGUUACUAAAACUCAUGGGAUUUCAGUUUCAAGCGCCUCACAAUUUGGCACCCCAAGAUUUGAUUCCUCUUCCUUUGGCCAAUCAGUAGUAUCCACGCCAGGGAGCAAAGGAAAAGAAAGUAUACCACCUUUUCUCAAGAGCUCUGGUUUUGGAAACUUAGCAUUUGGCAUUUAUGAGAAAGGAAGUAGAAUAGCAUCAUAUAUUGCAACUCCAGAGAACGAUAUCACAGGACCCGGUGGUGGAAAAAUUCAAUCCCAUCUGUGUAAUAUAAAGAUAAAAGCCAGGAGGAGUUGAGGUUUGAGGACCACCAGUUAGGUGAUAAAGGUGAGAAUUGACAUAUAUAGAUGCUACGCUUAAUACUGCCAACUUCAUGAAAGGAGAGAUAAUAUUAACUUCUCUAGAGCAGCGAGGCGGCUUUGGAAUUGGUUGAAAAGCUAAAUCUGCUCCUUGUGAAAGUAGCUAUGCGCAUUGAAUUGUACUCUUCUCCAAAAAUUUCAGUAAUAAACUGGAAUAUCUCUGUGGGAUUUCUUGUGUCAGCUAUUGAUGCCUUGUAGUUGUCUUUAAUUAGUGAUU